CACGGGGGGAGCAAGCGUUGUUCGGAAUCACUGGGCGUAAAGGGCGUGUAGGCGGUCAGGUAAGUGGGAUGUGAAAUGCCUCGGCUCACCCGAGGCACUGCAUUCCAUACUGCUUGGCUUGAGUAUGGGAGAGGAUGAGGGAAUUCCUGGUGUAGCGGUGAAAUGCGUAGAUAUCAGGAGGAACACCGGUGGCGAAAGCGCUCAUCUGGCCCAAUACUGACGCUGAUGCGCGAAAGCUAGGGGAGCAAACGGG
Molecule: ribosomal RNA, 253 nt
Filed under: uncultured bacterium
Lineage: Bacteria
Description: partial 16S ribosomal RNA
Rfam family: Bacterial small subunit ribosomal RNA
Source: RNAcentral